GAUCAUGGACUCAGAUUGAACGCUGCGGCAUGCCUUACACAUGCAAGUCGAACGGCAAGCGCGGGGCAACCUGGCGGCGAGUGGCGAACGGGUGAGUAACAUAUCGGAACAUACCCUAGAUGGGGAUAACGUAGCGAAAGUUACGCUAAUACCGCAUACGCACUAAGGUGGAAAGUGGGGGAUUCGCAAGAACCUCAUGCUCAUGGAGUGGCCGAUAUCUGAUUAGCUAGUUGGUGAGGUAAAGGCUCACCAAGGCGACGAUCAGUAGCUGGUUUGAGAGAACGACCAGCCACACUGGAACUGAGACACGGUCCAGACUCCUACGGGAGGCAGCAGUGGGGAAUUUUGGACAAUGGGGGCAACCCUGAUCCAGCAAUGCCGCGUGAGUGAAGAAGGCCUUCGGGUUGUAAAGCUCUUUUGUCAGGGAAGAAACGGUGAGUUCUAAUAAAGCUUGCUAAUGACGGUACCUGAAGAAUAAGCACCGGCUAACUACGUG
RNAcentral lists this ribosomal RNA (496 nucleotides) under uncultured bacterium. Its description in RNAcentral is "bacterial SSU rRNA". It matches the Rfam family "Bacterial small subunit ribosomal RNA", at positions 15 to 507 of the family's 1533-position model. The record is from RNAcentral.